CUCCUACGGGAGGCAGCAGUGAGGAAUUUUGCGCAAUGGGGGAAACCCUGACGCAGCAACGCCGCGUGAGUGAAGAAGGCCUUCGGGUCGUAAAGCUCUGUCAAGUGGGAAGAACCCUUCCGGUGUUAACAGCACCGGGAGCUGACGGUACCACUGAAGGAAGCACCGGCUAACUCCGUGCCAGCAGCCGCGGUAAUACGGAGGGUGCAAGCGUUAUUCGGAAUUACUGGGCGUAAAGGGCGCGCAGGCGGCCUGUUAAGUCAGUUGUGAAAGCCCGGGGCUCAACCCCGGAAGUGCGACUGAAACUGGCAGGCUUGAGUAUGGGAGAGGGAAGUGGAAUUCCUGGUGUAGCGGUGAAAUGCGUAGAUAUCAGGAGGAACACCGGUGGCGAAGGCGACUUCCUGGACCAAUACUGACGCUGAGGCGCGAAGGCGUGGGUAGCAAACAGGAUUAGAUACCCUGGUAGUCCACGCAGUAAACGGUGAUCACUAGGUGUUGCGGGCUUCGAUGUCUGCAGUGCCGAAGCAAACGCAUUAAGUGAUCCGCCUGGGGAGUACGGCCGCAAGGUUAAAACUCAAAGGAAUUGACGG
RNAcentral lists this ribosomal RNA (590 nucleotides) under uncultured bacterium. Its description in RNAcentral is "bacterial SSU rRNA". It matches the Rfam family "Bacterial small subunit ribosomal RNA", at positions 336 to 916 of the family's 1533-position model. The record is from RNAcentral.